RNAcentral lists this long non-coding RNA (245 nucleotides) under Elaeis guineensis (African oil palm). RNAcentral describes it as "long non-coding RNA (EGUI_LNC038401)". The record is from RNAcentral. Lineage: Eukaryota; Viridiplantae; Streptophyta; Magnoliopsida; Arecales; Arecaceae.
AGGUCGGAGGGAUAUUUAUACCCAUAUCCUUCGCGAGCUAUCCUUGACAGUAAAGUACUCCACAGUUGGUCAUGUUCAGUGACGAUGUACUCCUACAACUCACCUACAUGCCAUACUAGUAUCUCCACACCAUUUAAUUACAAGGAUAGUCGAUAUAUAUGGCACGCAACGACCUACACUUGAUAUCGCUAUCGUCCUAAAAAUAACGUAUCGUUUGAUUAUGAAUCAGUUUAAGGAUUACAUGA